RNAcentral lists this ribosomal RNA (254 nucleotides) under uncultured bacterium. RNAcentral describes it as "partial 16S ribosomal RNA". It matches the Rfam family "Bacterial small subunit ribosomal RNA", at positions 524 to 776 of the family's 1533-position model. The record is from RNAcentral.
UACGGGGGGAGCAAGCGUUGUUCGGAUUUACUGGGCGUAAAGGGCGCGUAGGCGGUCAGCACAAGUCAGUUGUGAAAUCUCCGGGCUUAACUCGGAAAGGUCAACUGAUACUGUGCGACUAGAGUGCAGAAGGGGCAACUGGAAUUCUCGGUGUAGCGGUGAAAUGCGUAGAUAUCGAGAGGAACACCUGCGGCGAAGGCGGGUUGCUGGGCUGACACUGACGCUGAGGCGCGAAAGCCAAGGGAGCGAACGGG